RNAcentral lists this long non-coding RNA (1221 nucleotides) under Sorghum bicolor (sorghum). RNAcentral describes it as "long non-coding RNA (SBIC_LNC011158)". The record is from RNAcentral. Lineage: Eukaryota; Viridiplantae; Streptophyta; Magnoliopsida; Poales; Poaceae.
AACCAGAUGGGAAGUAAUUGCUGCUAUAUUGUCAAAUACCACGAUAUUUUUGCAGUCUGCGCAUGGACAACAUAUGUGCUUUGCCCUUGUUCUGCGAGCAUGUAUCUUUGCGACAUCAAUAAAUUUUUGGACCUCCACUAUAUGAUGGGUCCAAUCUUGAUAAGUUGUACAUCCAUAAUGACCUCUCCAUAUUUAGCUGUAAUUAGUUAAGAACAAUCAAUGUAGGUCAAUCUAAAAACAAAACUAAUAUAACCCCCGAAAACAGACUUAACUAAGAUACUAACCUCCUUCUAUUAAACACCUCCUUCUAUUAAACAGAGAUGAAAACUGUAACACCUAAAAUUUGAUUUCCAAUUAAUAGGAUUUAAUUUGAUUUAUUUAAAUAUUUUUGUGAACAUUUAAAUUAGUAAAUAAAUAAAUUUCGUUGAAAUUAAAAUUCAUUAUAAGUUUAGUAAACUUGAUUGUGCAUUCAUGCUGAAGGAUAUUUUAUUUUUGUGCUAAUUUCUUUUGGUUGGAAUUUGGUUGCUCUCAAAAUUCUAUUUAAAAAGGCUUUAGAAAAAAAUAAUAAAAAAAGAAAAGGACAAUGCUCACCUGCUCUCGGCCUGGCAGCCCAGCUACUGGCCCGCUCAGCCGGUAGAGCCGCGGCCCAGGCGCAUGCAACCGCCUUUCCCCCUCCCUCUCACUGCCAUCGCGACCCGCUAGUCAGCACCCCCCCCCUCCUUCUUCCAGGAACCGAGACCGAGCGGGACUCCACCAAAGGCGGAAGCCAAAUCCCGUAUCCCUCGGGAUUCCUUGCCAAUACGUGCAAACAAGCACCCUAUAAGGCUCACCGCACCCGCCUGCGCGCUCUUUUCCUUACCCGAACGUUUUACUAAGCCCUAGCCGCCUCGAGUUUUGAGCUUGGAUCUUGCCGACUUCGGCCUCCGCCGCGACGCGCGCCUGGCUCUCUCUACUCCUCUUCGGCUCGAAUAGUUCGUCAAGGUGGGUUCGCGAGGUGCUCCUCUGUCUCCCCGUGCUCUCAACUUAGUUUUUGGCGCAAAUCUCGUGAAAACAAAGGACACCGGCGAGCUCCGAAGCGGCGUUCAUGGCGCCACCGCGCCGAAAGCCAACUCCGGCGGCCGGAUCCGCCACCUGCGGCUCCUGGGUCAAUCUCGGCCGUCGAUUCGCAGAUCAACGCAUGCGAAUAGAAGAUAACGGUUCAGCGUGGUUUUUAUUAAAGAG